CAACACUGCCACGAUCGAUCCACCAGACAUGAAUUUAUCAUGUUUGCUUAGACCAUGAUAAAUCAAUCUCUAAGCACUCUACCAUCGAUGCUGGUAUUCCACCAGGAUGGGAGAAGGGAAGAUGGUGUUGACGAGAAAGCAGCUUCCGCCAACCUUACUGCACACAAGACGCCACAGGUUUCUCACAACAUUGUCAUGCUGGACCAGAGCUUCUGGUCUCCCCCAGCCAAGGCACAGAGCUGAGAUUACUCUCUGCCCCAACCUGAAGAGCAAUGCAGACACUGAAUUGCCUCAGAUCUGAGGAAAAUGCAGUUUUGGGCACAGCAUCCAAUGAAACCACUCCCCAAAUGGGACCAGAACCUCAAAUAAAUGAUUCAGCUGGUUCAUAAAUGCAGUUCUCUAUCAACAAAAGGCCUAUGUGACUUAAGAAGAACCUGCCUUCAAACACCGCCUAUGAGCGAAGAAUUCAGAGACAAAGCAUGUUGCUCCCUAAAGCAGAGAAGUACAACUCAGCCCAUCCAUAGGUGGCGUGAAUCGUGAGCAGGGGAAAGGCUCGAUUGUGCCUCUGCAGAAGGAGAAAAACGGUAGAGGGGAACUGUUUAAGCAAGAAAGGAUCAGGAUGGAAAGCGGGAUUUGCAACACCUGUUCAUUAGAUAAGCAGUCCUGCACUGGCACUGUUACAGGGGACAUAGUAUCAUUUUUUAUAUGAGCUUUUUAAAAAAGUGUAUUUAGCUGUUUAUGCCCAUCAUGGUGUUAUGUGAAUAGCGCUUGCAGUAUAUGCAGGAGAUGAGAGAUGCACAUAUUUGGGACUGCUGCCACUGUGGGCCUCACUGUCCUUCCCUUUGUUAUACUCAAAUGUCUGCAUCUAAAUCAUUGUUGUCCUGGAGUAAAUGGUGAUGUUGGAAAGGGAUCCCUGCCCCCUCCUCCCGCUGCUAGGUACAUCUGCAGUUUAACUUCCACAGUUUGGCCCUAACUGACUCUGUGACAUGGGGAGGGUUUUUUUUUGUCUUUUAAAUAAAGAAUGAUUGAUAAGAAGUUUCUUUCCAGGAUCCAGUUAGAUGGAUGUUUGCAAUCAAGGAUUUCUUUCACAUGGAAAGAUUUUAAUAGGCUAUUUAGCUGAAAUCACAAGAUAAGUCUUUGAGAGACCGUACCUAUGGGUGACCUUUGUGCAGAAAAAUAAGCACCCACAAAUAAGUCUUUUGUUAUAUUCUGAAGGACUCUGUCAUCAAGGAUGCAAUCGGGAAGGGAGGAGAGGAAGGGGACAUAGUAUCAUAUUUUUAUAUGAGCUUUAAAAAAAAAGGGUAUUUAACUGUGCCUACAGUCACAGGCUAUUGUUCUCCACAGUGAGUCUCAGAUCCACACAGGGAAGAAAUCCCAUUCAUCUUUAUUGAUUUCUUUAGGCCUUCGAGGGCUUUGUGAGAGAGAAGCUGGUGUUAAUGUAGGACAAAACAAAAUAC
This is a non-coding RNA of Pelodiscus sinensis (Chinese soft-shelled turtle), 1457 nucleotides long. The record is from RefSeq and is a predicted model, not a curated record. NCBI's taxonomy places the organism in Eukaryota, Metazoa, Chordata, Testudines, Trionychidae.